This 435-nucleotide ribosomal RNA is filed under the name uncultured bacterium. Its description in RNAcentral is "partial 16S ribosomal RNA". It matches the Rfam family "Bacterial small subunit ribosomal RNA", at positions 29 to 507 of the family's 1533-position model. The record is from RNAcentral.
AGCGAACGCUGGCGGCAGGCUUAACACAUGCAAGUCGAGCGGGCACUUUCGGGUGUCAGCGGCGGACGGGUGAGUAACGCGUGGGAACGUGCCCUCUGGUUCGGAAUAACUCAGGGAAACUUGAGCUAAUACCGGAUACGCCCUUUUGGGGAAAGGCUUGCUGCCGGAGGAUCGGCCCGCGUCUGAUUAGCUAGUUGGUGAGGUAACGGCUCACCAAGGCGACGAUCAGUAGCUGGUCUGAGAGGAUGAUCAGCCACACUGGGACUGAGAUACGGCCCAGACUCCUACGGGAGGCAGCAGUGGGGAAUAUUGGACAAUGGGCGCAAGCCUGAUCCAGCCAUGCCGCGUGAGUGAUGAAGGCCUUAGGGUUGUAAAGCUCUUUUAUCCGGGACGAUAAUGACGGUACCGGAGGAAUAAGCCCCGGCUAACUUCGUG